RNAcentral lists this long non-coding RNA (4990 nucleotides) under Marmota monax (woodchuck). Lineage: Eukaryota; Metazoa; Chordata; Mammalia; Rodentia; Sciuridae. The record is from RNAcentral.
GUUAACCUCUUCCAGGAAUGAGCUCACAGACACACCCAGACAUAGGUUUAACCAGUUAUCUGGGCACCCUGUUGCCCAGCUAACCAUAAAAUUAACCAUCACAAGAUUGAAUUUACAUAUACACUGUGCAUUCAGUCAAAUUUUCUGACUAUAGCACAGAGACAGCAGCAAAGUCAAUGAAUUCAUCUAAAUAAUAAUGGAAACAUUCUUAGGUGCCUUUCACUUAAGCAAUUUAGAUGUAUAACCAGUCAAGCCAAUUAUAAUUCUUUUCCAUUUUAUCACCUAAAUGUCUGGUAAAAAUGUAAUUCAGUAAUCUAGGAUCCAAUGAUUGGCCUCAGGGAACAGAAUAAAAGAUACAAUGACAUCCAUAACCAUUGAAUAGACUUAGAAACUCUUGAAGGGUAAGUGGCAUUUCAAUUUUUAACUUUCAUUUUAAUUCUGUAGUAUUCAAAAUGGAAGACCAUGAUAACUUUCUGCAAGGAUCUUUACCAGGACUUUCAUAAUUUCUUUUUUUCCCCUCCCUUCCUAAUGGAGGUAUCUGUACUCCUGGUUCUCCUGGCCCUGGAUAAUUCUUGGCACUAUUGAAUCUCUUCUGACAGCAGAAAACGGUGAUGAGGAGGUUGAAUGACUCAAUGGCAAUUUAAUCUGGUCUUAUUUUAUUUGGCCUUGUGCAAGAAGAAACCUGAUGUGGCUUGGAAUUGUAAUGCCAGGAAUUACCUGAUUCCUGCAUAUUUCUCCCAUUUUUCUGCCUGGUGAAUGACUUCUAUGGGCAUUUAAAGCAUGUACAACAUGGUAAAUGUAGAUUUGUUGCUUCAGCCCCUGAACUGGGUAUCUUAUUUUAUUGCAUUUAAAAUUAAAGGAGGGAAAUAAUAGAUUUUAGAUUUUAUUUAUAGGGACAAGGCAUUUGAGUGUAUUCAUAUGAGUUGCUCUUUGAUGCAGUACUGUCUUGUUUUCCUUUCAGUCAGACUUCUGGAUUUAAGUGAAGGAAAAAAUAACAACCAAAAUAAAGGAAUUUCUAUAAAUAAAAUGUCAUAACUAUAAAGAUCAACAACCUAAAGAAUAGAAUUAAUAUGAUGUGAUUAGUCUGUAAAAAGGGAGUCCAAUGUUUAUAUCUGGCUAUGGAAGACCAGUUAUGAUUCAGAGAAGCUGAGACAUGGUAGGAGAAGGUAGAGUAAUGAUUAGCAGAGAAGAGCUGGACAUAAGCAUAGGCAAUAGAAGAAAUAGAAGGAGUUGGUGGUGCUAAUGUGGAAGAAAAUUAUUGUAGCAAUUUUUGCAUUGUGGCCCCAGUGGUCCAUAUAAGAACUUUGUUAUCUUGCAGGAGGGUCUUUAUGAAGAGGCCAUUGGUGAAGCAACAUAAGGAGAAGAGCCCCUGAGGUGACAGAAAGAGAAGAGAACCAGACCAUCUCAAUGUCCUAGUCAAAUCUAGCACCUUGGGGACCUCUCAAAUGGAUGAAUUCACAUGAAUGAUCAUUGGUAAAUCAACAGAGGAAUUACCCAGCUAAGCCCCAACCAAAUGAUAGCUGUAAGCAAAUGAUGUGGUCAUUGUGUUAAGUCACUAAGUACUGGAGGUAGUUUGUAAUACAGCAAAAGAUAACUGUUGGUAUGAUAAUUGACAAGUCAAGGAUGUCUCUUUCUUCUCUGGCAUAUUGUGGUGUUAAGUGGAGAAGAAGGCUUGAGACCACAGAAAAAUUGGGUCAUAUCCUCACUUUGUCAAUUUUUAUCUCUAUGGUGUUAUUUGCUAUUUCUGAGUUUCAGUCUUUUUAGUUUUAAAAUGAGACAGAUAUUUCUCCUCUCUCAAUAUAGUUAAGACAUUAUGUGUGUGAAGGUUUAGGGCUAUAUGAAGUACACACCAAACAGUAGUUCUACUUCAUAUCCUCCCUAUAGUUCCUUUUAUCUUGAGGGGACAUAUAGUUAUCUAAAGCCUUUUAUUUCCUAAAACUAGUCCUGUGACCUGCUAAAGGCAGUUUUGUCACAGGUCAAUGGACUUUGUGCAUGAGUAUAUUUGAUCAACAAUCACUAUGUCUAUAUGAAGAAGAGAUAAAUUAUCAAACCACAAGUAACAGAUUUUUUUUAACAACAAUGGCAGAUUUUAGGGGUCAUUACUGGAGUCCAUGCACAUUUGUUUCUUUGUCCCAGACUAUCUGUCCUUGCCCCUCUGGAACACCACUCUUGCAUGUUACAAUAACUUGGGUUCCCAAGGAAUGUUGAAGUUACAUUCAUCUUAUUUUAUUUCAGAAGACACAUACUAUAUUUCAGUUAGAUUUUCACCAAAAAAGCAUUCUUUCUCAAUUGUUUGUGAAAUUCAUUCAUUUAGGUAAAAACUAAACAUUUCAAGGCAACACUAGAUGAAAUUUGGCACUCAUUGAGCCUCUGCCUUAGUACCAGAAGGUGAUUUAGGAUUUUGGAAAGGAAGUCUUAUAUUGUUUGUGUAAUUUAUGUUAAAAUUUUGCAAACAUACAGAUUCCCAGCUCCCUGAGAUAAAACAAAGUGUGCACACGCAUACAUACACAUACACCAAAGGAUUAAGGGGAAAAGAAAUAACCUGCCUGGGCCUCAAUUUCCAAAUUGGGAAAAGAGAAAGUCAGGCUAGCUUUCUCAGACUGGAAGGUUUUCCAAGACUACUUCUAGCUCUGAGUGUAGUGGAAGUCUCACCUCUUAGUGCCUGCACUAGCCCUUCAUAGAGAAUAAGAUUAGAAACACAGGUUGCUCCCCAGCAAAACUUUAAUUGCAAAGCUCUAAUUACAAAAAGAAUCAAAAUACAUACUUAGGUUAUGUUUUUUUAAAUUGUAUUUUUAAUUGUGUUUUGUCUCCAUUUUCUUUUAAAAGAGAAACGAAAACUUCAAUUUGCCAAAUUGCUAUACAUGUUUCCUUGCUGGGUAGUUGCCCUAGCAAGUUAACCUAAAAUGAUUUUCUAAAAUGUAUUUUUAAUCAGAAAAUUUGAUCCCUGAAAUUUGUCUUAAACAUUUUUUUUUCUUCAAACCUCUUAUAGGACUCUGGAAUUUCCAUACCUUAGUGCCAAGAGCAUAGCAAAGAAAUCCAGCUCAGUUUAGUAAUUACUUGUGUUACUCUAGCUCAAAGUUGUUUUGCUCUUAAUGGCUUAGGAGAGCCAUUUGAAUACUUUGAUUCUUGUAAUAAAAGUUCUAAUGGGGAAAGUAGGUGAAUGCCCAUGUAAUGUUUAGCCUAUUAAAACAGUGAUAUUCAAAGCUUUUGCAGAUGAAAUUCUUACCAGGGACUAUGAAUAAGGACAGGUUAAUUGUAAGGAAAGCAAGAAAACAAUAAGAAAGUCAAAGUCAAUUGGGAGAGUCUUUUCCUUCUUCAAAAUAGGGCCCACAAUAUAGGGGAAUUUAUUUUUUCUCCCUUCUUAUUGGAAGAGGGAAGAUUCUCCCUAGUAAUCUGCUGAUUUCAUCCCAAGCAUAUUAGUUAGGCUUCCCCAGAGAAACAGAACCAAUAGGGGACACACACACACACACACACACACACACACACACACACAUACACAUACACACAUUAUAUAUGAAGAGAUUCAUUAAGAAGAAUUGGCUCACCCAAUUAUGGAGAUAUGGAAGUCCAGUGGACUGCAACCUGGAGACCCAGAAAGCUGGUGGUAUCAUUCAAUCCAAGUCCAAAGGCCUGAGAAAAAGGGAAGCCACUGGUGUAAGUCUCAGUCUGAUGGCAGACUCAGACUGCUCAUGCAGGCAGGUAGAAAAAAGGGACAGAGUCUCCCUUCCUUAUUUUCUUGUUCUAGUCAGCCCAUCAGUAUUGGGAAAGGCCAUCUGCUUUCCUGAGCCAAAUAAUUCAAAUGCUUACCUCAUUUAGAAACACAUGCACACACACACAACUAGAAGUAAUGUUUGAAAAAUAUCUGGAUGCUCCAUGGUCCAGUCAAGUUUACACAUAAAAUUAACCCUCAUACCAAGGCUUCUCAGACCAUGUUUGUUUAACUAUAGUUUCUCAAACUAUCUGUGGUGAACAAAAGUUGCCUCCUCCCCAACCACUGGGUACUGACGCUUGUGUGAAAUACAACCAAAUUGAACCACAAAUGUGGUACAUCCACACAAUGAAAUAUUAUUUAAACAUAAGAACAUAAGAAGUAUUGAUAGAUGCUACAACAUAGGUGAACCUACGAAGUAAAAGAAGCCAGACACAAAGGGCAUAUACUGUAUGAUUCCAUGUAUGUGAAAUGUCUGGAGUGAAUGCCCAUGUAAUGUGUAGCCUUUUAAAAUAUUCGGGCUGGGGAUGUGGCUCAAGUGGUAGCGCGCUUGCCUGGCAUGCACGGGGCGCUGGAUUCGAUCCUCAGCACCACAUAAAAAUAAAAAAUAAAGAUGUUGUGUCCACCGAAAACUAAAAAAUAAAUAUUAAAAACAAUUUCUCUCUCUCCCUCUCUCUUUAAAAAAAAAAAACAGUGAUAUUCAAAGCAAGAAUAUGUAGAGCAAGAAAGUUGAUAAGGGCUGGGGGUUAGAGUGCAAAUACUGAAGAGUGAAAAUUAAGUAGAGUCAGUUGUAUUCUGACUCUAGUAUUGCAGUAUGUAUAUACAUGGCUGUAUAACCAAUGUGAUCCUGCAAUCUGUACACGUGGAAAAAUGAGAAUUCAUACCCUAUUUGAAUCAAAUGUAUGAUAUGUCAAGAUCAUUGUAUUGUCUUGAGCAACUAAUAGAAAAAAGAAAAUUAAGUAGAAGUAAUGAAAUGUUUUAAAAUUGACUGUGGUUGUGGAUAAAUGUUAUUAAAUUAUAUAAUUUUAAUGUGUAAAUUGUAUGGUUAUUAUUUAAUACUAAGAAGAAAUGAGCUAUUAAACCAUGAAAAAAGUAUGUAGGAAACUUAAUGAUCAUUACCAAGUGAAAUAUUGCAAUCUGAAAAGGCUAUAGAACACAAAAUUCCAACUAUGUGACAUUCUAGAAAAGGCAAAACUGUGGAGACAGUAAAAACAUCAGUGGCUUUCAGGACUAGUGGGAAGGGAGAGAGGCAUGAAUAGUGGAGCACAGAAUUUUUAAGGC